RNAcentral lists this ribosomal RNA (129 nucleotides) under Chinchilla lanigera (long-tailed chinchilla). The record is from RNAcentral. Lineage: Eukaryota; Metazoa; Chordata; Mammalia; Rodentia; Chinchillidae.
GUCUACGGCCACACCACCCCAAAUGUACCUCACCUCAUCUGAUCUCAGAAGCUGAGCAGGGUCAGGCCUGGCUAGAAUUUGGAUGGGAGAAAGGAAAGCAGUAUUCUCCACAGCCGGAAGCCGGUGGCA